Asterias rubens (European starfish) is the source of this 641-nucleotide long non-coding RNA. RefSeq lists it as uncharacterized. NCBI's taxonomy places the organism in Eukaryota, Metazoa, Echinodermata, Asteroidea, Forcipulatida, Asteriidae. The transcript has 3 exons. The record is from RefSeq and is a predicted model, not a curated record.
UCUAGCCAGACGACCAUCAUCUACAAGAUUAACCACUCAAGGGACGAAGCGGUGUUGAGGUUCUACCUCCAUGGUUGAGGCUAUAACCAACACAUUUUGGACGGGUGCAAAAAUCAACUGAAGAUCACUUGGUUUAGAUGAUGGCCUGGAAGAUGAUAUCUCGAGGCUGAUUAACACAUUUGGGACUUACCACCAGCUGAAGAAGGACUGUGUCAAGUCUAGCCUGAUGAGUCUUUGUGGCGAUGGCGAUGUUGAGGCUUACCAACACUUUUUGAGCAGGAGCAAUAGGUCAACCGAAGAAACUUGAUUGAGUCGACUACCUUGGAGAUGACAUACACGCAACAUUGAGGCUAAACACCUUUUGGACUGAUUGCCACCAGCUUUAAGAAGGACUGGGUCAGUCUAGCUCGGUGACUCUCUGCUACAAGUUCAUACCAUUCAAGUGACGUAGGAAUUUUGUGAGAAUAAACACCCAUUUUUGGACCGAAGAAGAUCUGCCUCAAAUGGAUAAGACAUGCACUACUCUUUUCAGAGCCAACUCUCCUCCCAAUGGAGAUUUUACACAUGGAUGUACCUGCAAGUUUACUUGUUGUAUAGUCACGUCUCAAUACUUUUUUACACCAUGCAAAGCUUCACAGCUU